This 440-nucleotide ribosomal RNA is filed under the name uncultured bacterium. Its description in RNAcentral is "partial 16S ribosomal RNA". It matches the Rfam family "Bacterial small subunit ribosomal RNA", at positions 339 to 795 of the family's 1533-position model. The record is from RNAcentral.
CUACGGGGUGCAGCAGUAAAGAAUCUUCCACAAUGGACGAAAGUCUGAUGGAGCGACACCGCGUGCAGGAUGACGGCCUUCGGGUUGUAAACUGCUUUUCUGAGGGAAUAAUUAUGAAGGUACCUUAGGAAUAAGCACCGGCUAAAUCCGUGCCAGCAGCCGCGGUAAUACGGAUGGUGCAAACGUUACCCGGAAUCAUUGGGCGUAAAGCGUCCGCAGGUGGCGUAAUAAGUCAGAUAUUAAAUCUCGAGGCUCAACUUCGAGACUGUGUUUGAAACUAUUAUGCUAGAGACUUGGAGAGGUGUAUGGAAUUCUACAUGUAGGGGUAAAAUCCGUAGAUAUGUAGAGGAACACCAAAAGCGAAGGCAGUACACUGGCCAAGUUCUGACACUCAUGGACGAAAGCGUGGGGAGCAAACGGGAUUAGAUACCCCAGUAGUC